AGGAUCCUACGGGGGGCAGCAGUGGGGAAUAUUGCACAAUGGGCGCAAGCCUGAUGCAGCGACGCCGCGUGAGCGAAGAAGUAUUUCGGUAUGUAAAGUUCUAUCAGCAGGGAAGAAAAUGACGGUACCUGACUAAGAAGCUCCGGCUAAAUACGUGCCAGCAGCCGCGGUCAUACGAAUGGAGCCAGCGUUAUCCGGAAUUACUGGGUGUAAAGGGAGCGUAGACGGAUGUGCAAGUCUGAUGUGAA
RNAcentral lists this ribosomal RNA (248 nucleotides) under uncultured bacterium. RNAcentral describes it as "partial 16S ribosomal RNA". It matches the Rfam family "Bacterial small subunit ribosomal RNA", at positions 333 to 598 of the family's 1533-position model. The record is from RNAcentral.